Camelus dromedarius (Arabian camel) is the source of this 164-nucleotide small nuclear RNA. Its record names the gene U1. It matches the Rfam family "U1 spliceosomal RNA". From Rfam's summary of the family: U1 is a small nuclear RNA (snRNA) component of the spliceosome (involved in pre-mRNA splicing). Its 5' end forms complementary base pairs with the 5' splice junction, thus defining the 5' donor site of an intron. The record is from Ensembl. NCBI's taxonomy places the organism in Eukaryota, Metazoa, Chordata, Mammalia, Artiodactyla, Camelidae.
AUGCUUACCUGGCAGACAAGAUAACGUGAUUACGAAGGUGGUUUUCCCAGGGCGAGACUUAUCCACUGCACUCCGGCUGUGCUGACCCCUGCGACUUCCCCAAACCUGGGAAACUCCAUCGCAUGAUCUGUGGCAUUAGGAGUCAGCCUUCACUCUUACUCCUG